Molecule: ribosomal RNA, 497 nt
Filed under: uncultured bacterium
Lineage: Bacteria
Description: partial 16S ribosomal RNA
Rfam family: Bacterial small subunit ribosomal RNA
Source: RNAcentral
GAUGAACGCUGGCGGCGUGCCUAAUACAUGCAAGUCGAGCGAACAGACGAGGAGCUUGCUCCUCUGACGUUAGCGGCGGACGGGUGAGUAACACGUGGAUAACCUACCUAUAAGACUGGGAUAACUUCGGGAAACCGGAGCUAAUACCGGAAAAUAUAUUGAACCGCAUGGUUCAAUAGUGAAAGACGGUUUUGCUGUAACUCAUAGCUGGAUCCGCGCCGCAUUAGCUAGUUGGUAAGGUAACGGCUUACCAAGGCAACGAUGCGUAGCCGACCUGAGAGGGUGAUCGGCCACACUGGAACUGAGACACGGUCCAGACUCCUACGGGAGGCAGCAGUAGUGAAUCUUCCGCAAUGGGCGAAAGCUUGACGGAGCAACGCCGCGUGAGUGAUGAAGGUCUUCGGAUCGUAAAACUCUGUUAUUAGGGAAGAACAAAUGUGUAAGUAACUAUGCACGUCUUGACGGUACCUAAUCAGAAAGCCACGGCUAACUACGUG